Non-coding RNA from Mucidula mucida, 82 nucleotides. Lineage: Eukaryota; Fungi; Basidiomycota; Agaricomycetes; Agaricales; Physalacriaceae. The record is from the annotation of a GenBank genome assembly.
UCUCUGAUAGUAUAUUGGCUAGUACACGAGCCUACCAUCAUUAUGCUGGUGUAGCGCUGGGUUCGACUCCCAGCACAGAGUA